RNAcentral lists this ribosomal RNA (340 nucleotides) under uncultured Pseudomonadota bacterium. RNAcentral describes it as "bacterial SSU rRNA". It matches the Rfam family "Bacterial small subunit ribosomal RNA", at positions 29 to 351 of the family's 1533-position model. The record is from RNAcentral. Lineage: Bacteria; Pseudomonadati; Pseudomonadota.
AACGAACGCUGGCGGCGUGCCUAACACAUGCAAGUCGAGCGAGAAAGUUCCUUCGGGAAUGAGUAGAGCGGCGGACGGGUGAGUAAUACAUAGGUAAUUUACCUUCGAGCUCGGGAUAACACUGCGAAAGUGGUGCUAAUACCGGAUAAGACCACGUAACAUUAUGUUGCGGGGUAAAAGGUGGCUUGUUUUUAAAUGAGCUAUCACUUGAGGAUGAGCCUAUGGCCUAUCAGCUUGUUGGCGGGGUAAGAGCCCACCAAGGCUAUGACGGGUAACUGGUCUGAGAGGACGACCAGUCACACUGGGACUGAGACACGGCCCAGACUCCUACGGGAGGCUG